GAUGAACGCUGGCGGCGUGCCUAAUACAUGCAAGUCGAGCGAACAGACGAGGAGCUUGCUCCUUUGACGUUAGCGGCGGACGGGUGAGUAACACGUGGGUAACCUACCUAUAAGACUGGGAUAACUUCGGGAAACCGGAGCUAAUACCGGAUAAUAUUUCGAACCGCAUGGUUCGAUAGUGAAAGAUGGCUCUGCUAUCACUUAUAGAUGGACCUGCGCCGUAUUAGCUAGUUGGUAAGGUAACGGCUUACCAAGGCAACGAUACGUUGCCGACCUGAGAGGGUGAUCGGCCACACUGGAACUGAGACACGGUCCAGACUCCUACGGGAGGCAGCAGUAGGGAAUCUUCCGCAAUGGGCGAAAGCCUGACGGAGCAACGCCGCGUGAGUGAUGAAGGUCUUCGGAUCGUAAAACUCUGUUAUUAGGGAAGAACAAACGUGUAAGUAACUGUGCACGUCUUGACGGUACCUAAUCAGAAAGCCACGGCUAACUACGUG
This 497-nucleotide ribosomal RNA is filed under the name uncultured bacterium. Its description in RNAcentral is "partial 16S ribosomal RNA". It matches the Rfam family "Bacterial small subunit ribosomal RNA", at positions 28 to 507 of the family's 1533-position model. The record is from RNAcentral.